GUGGGGAAUCUUGCGCAAUGGGCGAAAGCCUGACGCAGCCAUGCCGCGUGAAUGAUGAAGGUCUUAGGAUUGUAAAAUUCUUUCACCGGGGACGAUAAUGACGGUACCCGGAGAAGAAGCCCCGGCUAACUUCGUGCCAGCAGCCGCGGUAAUACGAAGGGGGCUAGCGUUGCUCGGAAUUACUGGGCGUAAAGGGCGCGUAGGCGGACAGUUUAGUCAGAGGUGAAAGCCCAGGGCUCAACCUUGGAAUUGCCUUUGAUACUGGCUGUCUUGAGUACGGGAGAGGUGAGUGGAACUCCGAGUGUAGAGGUGAAAUUCGUAGAUAUUCGGAAGAACACCAGUGGCGAAGGCGACUCACUGGCCCGUUACUGAUGCUGAGGCGCGAAAGCGUGGGGAGCAAACAGGAUUAGAUACCCGAGUAGUCC
This 425-nucleotide ribosomal RNA is filed under the name uncultured bacterium. RNAcentral describes it as "bacterial SSU rRNA". It matches the Rfam family "Bacterial small subunit ribosomal RNA", at positions 354 to 796 of the family's 1533-position model. The record is from RNAcentral.